ACCAGCGGUGAUAGCACGCUGAAUACACCAGUCCCCUUUGGAUCACUCAAGUUAAGUACCGUUGUGCAUGGUCACUAUCCGGAUGGGUGACUGACUAUCUGGGCAAUCGCAUGCUGCUGGCU
This 122-nucleotide ribosomal RNA is filed under the name Diaphorina citri (Asian citrus psyllid). The record is from RNAcentral. Lineage: Eukaryota; Metazoa; Arthropoda; Insecta; Hemiptera; Psyllidae.